This 483-nucleotide ribosomal RNA is filed under the name Staphylococcus aureus. Its description in RNAcentral is "bacterial SSU rRNA". It matches the Rfam family "Bacterial small subunit ribosomal RNA", at positions 1 to 473 of the family's 1533-position model. The record is from RNAcentral. Lineage: Bacteria; Bacillati; Bacillota; Bacilli; Caryophanales; Staphylococcaceae.
UUUUAUGGAGAGUUUGAUCCUGGCUCAGGAUGAACGCUGGCGGCGUGCCUAAUACAUGCAAGUCGAGCGAACGGACGAGAAGCUUGCUUCUCUGAUGUUAGCGGCGGACGGGUGAGUAACACGUGGAUAACCUACCUAUAAGACUGGGAUAACUUCGGGAAACCGGAGCUAAUACCGGAUAAUAUUUUGAACCGCAUGGUUCAAAAGUAAAAGACGGUCUUGCUGUCACUUAUAGAUGGAUCCGCGCUGCAUUAGCUAGUUGGUAAGGUAACGGCUUACCAAGGCAACGAUGCAUAGCCGACCUGAGAGGGUGAUCGGCCACACUGGAACUGAGACACGGUCCAGACUCCUACGGGAGGCAGCAGUAGGGAAUCUUCCGCAAUGGGCGAAAGCCUGACGGAGCAACGCCGCGUGAGUGAUGAAGGUCUUCGGAUCGUAAAACUCUGUUAUUAGGGAAGAACAUAUGUGUAAGUAACUGUGCAC